Acanthosepion pharaonis is the source of this 88-nucleotide non-coding RNA. The record is from the annotation of a GenBank genome assembly. Lineage: Eukaryota; Metazoa; Mollusca; Cephalopoda; Sepiida; Sepiidae.
CGUUCCUGUACGAUCACUGAAGUUAAGCAAUGUCGAACAUGGUUAGUACCUAGAUGGGUGACUGUUUGGGAAUACCAGGUGAUGUAAG